CUUGUCUUAGCCGAGUAGUUAUCACAACAGACUCAAAAUCUGUUUCUCUUGGAGUUGGUUCGAAACCUGCCGAUAACA
Non-coding RNA from Suillus subalutaceus, 78 nucleotides. NCBI's taxonomy places the organism in Eukaryota, Fungi, Basidiomycota, Agaricomycetes, Boletales, Suillaceae. The record is from the annotation of a RefSeq genome assembly.